RNAcentral lists this long non-coding RNA (647 nucleotides) under Nicotiana benthamiana. RNAcentral's name for it is "long non-coding RNA (NBEN_LNC006305)". Lineage: Eukaryota; Viridiplantae; Streptophyta; Magnoliopsida; Solanales; Solanaceae. The record is from RNAcentral.
CUUGGACUUAGUUGGAAAGGUAGGUGUUCGGCAUGUCCCUUGCUUGCGAACUUCUUUAGUAGGGCGGAGGUGCCAUUCCUCACGUUUACCGUUGUCCCCAGACUUCACUCUUUCAACACUUGUAUACUUUCUAAAGAGUCAGGCAUGCCCCUGUCCCUGUCUCCAAGUGUGUGAUCCACCGAUUCACUGAGUGACUUUUUCUUACCGCUGCGCUUACGUCCCUCUCUCUUAAAGCCCUAUCAGACUUCCCUUGCCGAUUGAAGAAAGCCUUAUAUGGCUUCAAACAAGCGAGAAAGGCCCUUUCUAUCUUAUUAGUCAAGCGCGCUAGCUGCAAUCAAAAAACAGCGCUAACGAGCAAGAAAACGGAUGCGCUAAGGCGCAACUUCGCGCAGCUGCUGCGCCCUUGCUUCUUGCUUUCGAGCCGGAGCUUGCUGGGUAGUGAAGUGGUCCGUGAAGGUUAAAUAAGACUUGUGUUAAGCAAGCAGAGUAGUCAAGCCAGAGAGGAAAAAAAAGCAAGAAGCUGUUUUCGUUCGAUCGACGGAAUCAAUCGUACUUUCACUGCUGUGGACCGGCUUUCAUAAAGCACCUUUGGGCAGCAGCAACUAUUGGGAUCCAAUUUCGAGAUCAAUUCGACAAUGAAACUCUUU